GACGAACGCUGGCGGCGUGCUUAACACAUGCAAGUCGAACGGAAAGGCCCAGCUUGCUGGGUACUCGAGUGGCGAACGGUGAGUAACACGUGGGUGAUCUGCCCCAAACUUCGGGAUAAGCCUGGGAAACUGGGUCUAAUACCGGAUAUGACCUGCUCCUGCAUGGGGGUUGGUGGAAAGCUUUGCGGUUUGGAUGGGCCCGCGGCCUAUCAGCUUGUUGGUGGGGUAAUGGCCUACCAAGGCGACGACGGGUAGCCGACCUGAGAGGGUGAUCGGCCACACUGGGACUGAGACACGGCCCAGACUCCUACGGGAGGCAGCAGUGGGGAAUAUUGCACAAUGGGCGCAAGCCUGAUGCAGCGACGCCGCGUGAGGGAUGACGGCCUUCGGG
Molecule: ribosomal RNA, 391 nt
Filed under: uncultured bacterium
Lineage: Bacteria
Description: bacterial SSU rRNA
Rfam family: Bacterial small subunit ribosomal RNA
Source: RNAcentral